RNAcentral lists this ribosomal RNA (310 nucleotides) under Clostridioides difficile. Its description in RNAcentral is "partial 23S ribosomal RNA". It matches the Rfam family "Bacterial large subunit ribosomal RNA", at positions 1897 to 2207 of the family's 2925-position model. Lineage: Bacteria; Bacillati; Bacillota; Clostridia; Peptostreptococcales; Peptostreptococcaceae. The record is from RNAcentral.
AAUCGAAGCAGUGAAUUAAGCCCCAGUAAACGGCGGCCGUAACUAUAACGGUCCUAAGGUAGCGAAAUUCCUUGUCGGGUAAGUUCCGACCCGCACGAAAGGCGUAACGAUUUGGGCACUGUCUCAACAACAGACUCGGUGAAAUUGUAAGUCCGGUGAAGAUGCCGGAUACCUGCGACAGGACGGAAAGACCCCAUGGAGCUUUACUGUAGCUUGACAUUGGGUCUUGGUACUACAUGUACAGGAUAGGUGGGAGGCUUUGAAACCAGGACGACAGUUGUGGCGGAGCCAUCCUUGGGAUACCACCCUU